CCCUUAGAUGUCCGGGGCCGCACGCGCGCUACACUGGAGGAAUCAGCGUGGCUUUCUCCCUGACCCGAAAGGGUUGGGAAACCCGUUGAAUCUCCUUCGUGAUAGGGAUUGGGGCUUGAAAUUGUUCCCCAUGAACGAGGAAUUCCCAGUAAGCGCGAGUCAUAAGCUCGCGUUGAUUACGUCCCUGCCCUUUGUACACACCGCCCGUCGCUACUACCGAUUGAACGAUUUAGUGAGGGCCUCGGAUUGGUCUCGGCCCGCUCUUUACCGGGCGGCGCCGUUGGUCGAGAAGACGCUCGAACUUGAUCGUUUAGAGGAAGUAAAAGUCGUAACA
This 334-nucleotide ribosomal RNA is filed under the name uncultured eukaryote. RNAcentral describes it as "partial 18S ribosomal RNA". It matches the Rfam family "Eukaryotic small subunit ribosomal RNA", at positions 1470 to 1796 of the family's 1831-position model. The record is from RNAcentral.